AUCCUGGGCGGCAGCUACACAUGCAGUCGAGCGGUAGAGAGAAGCUUGCUUCUCUUGAGAGCGGCGGACGGGUGAGUAAUGCCUAGGAAUCUGCCUGGUAGUGGGGGAUAACGUUCGGAAACGGACGCUAAUACCGCAUACGUCCUACGGGAGAAAGCAGGGGACCUUCGGGCCUUGCGCUAUCAGAUGAGCCUAGGUCGGAUUAGCUAGUUGGUGGGGUAAUGGCUCACCAAGGCGACGAUCCGUAACUGGUCUGAGAGGAUGAUCAGUCACACUGGAACUGAGACACGGUCCAGACUCCUACGGGAGGCAGCAGUGGGGAAUAUUGGACAAUGGGCGAAAGCCUGAUCCAGCCAUGCCGCGUGUGUGAAGAAGGUCUUCGGAUUGUAAAGCACUUUAAGUUGGGAGGAAGGGUUGUAGAUUAAUACUCUGCAAUUUUGACGUUACCGACAGAAUAAGCACCGGCUAACUCUGUGCCAGCAGCCGCGGUAAUACAGAGGGUGCAAGCGUUAAUCGGAAUUACUGGGCGUAAAGCGCGCGUAGGUGGUUUGUUAAGUUGGAUGUGAAAUCCCCGGGCUCAACCUGGGAACUGCAUUCAAAACUGACUGACUAGAGUAUGGUAAAGGGUGGUGGAAUUUCCUGUGUAGCGGUGAAAUGCGUAGAUAUAGGAAGGAACACCAGUGGCGAAGGCGACCACCUGGACUAAUACUGACACUGAGGUGCGAAAGCGUGGGGAGCAAACAGGAUUAGAUACCCUGGUAGUCCACGCCGUAAACGAUGUCAACUAGCCGUUGGAAGCCUUGAGCUUUUAGUGGCGCAGCUAACGCAUUAAGUUGACCGCCUGGGGGAGUACGGCCGCAGGUUAAAACUCAGAU
RNAcentral lists this ribosomal RNA (875 nucleotides) under Pseudomonas sp. H-12. RNAcentral's name for it is "bacterial SSU rRNA". It matches the Rfam family "Bacterial small subunit ribosomal RNA", at positions 33 to 906 of the family's 1533-position model. The record is from RNAcentral. Lineage: Bacteria; Pseudomonadati; Pseudomonadota; Gammaproteobacteria; Pseudomonadales; Pseudomonadaceae.